UACGGAGGGUGCAAGCGUUGUUCGGAAUCACUGGGCGUAAAGCGCGUGUAGGCGGCCUCUUCAGUCUGGUGUGAAAGCCCGGGGCUCACCCCCGGAAGUGCAUUGGAUACUGGGAGGCUGGAGUACCGGAGAGGAGGGUGGAAUUCCUGGUGUAGCGGUGAAAUGCGUAGAUAUCAGGAGGAACACCUGUGGCGAAGGCGGCCCUCUGGACGGAUACUGACGCUGAGACGCGAAAGCGUGGGGAGCAAACAGG
This 253-nucleotide ribosomal RNA is filed under the name uncultured bacterium. Its description in RNAcentral is "partial 16S ribosomal RNA". It matches the Rfam family "Bacterial small subunit ribosomal RNA", at positions 524 to 776 of the family's 1533-position model. The record is from RNAcentral.